GACGUAGGAGGCGAGCGUUGUCCGGAUUCAUUGGGCGUAAAGAGCGCGCAGGCGGCUUGGUAAGUCGGAUGUGAAAACCCGAGGCUCAACCUCGGGCGUGCAUCCGAAACUGCUCGGCUAGAGGUAGGUAGGGGAGAUCGGAAUUCCUGGUGUAGCGGUGAAAUGCGUAGAUAUCAGGAGGAACACCUGCGGUGCAGACGGCUUUCUGGACCAUUGCUGACGCUGAGACACGAAAGCGUGGGUAGCAAACAGG
RNAcentral lists this ribosomal RNA (253 nucleotides) under uncultured bacterium. RNAcentral describes it as "partial 16S ribosomal RNA". It matches the Rfam family "Bacterial small subunit ribosomal RNA", at positions 524 to 776 of the family's 1533-position model. The record is from RNAcentral.